GCUUCCUUGGUGUAGUCGGUUAUCACGUCGGUCUCAUAUCUCGUCGAGUAUGACUGUUCUAAGAAUAGAAAUCCGAAGGCCGCCAGUUCGAAUCUGGCAGGGAGCA
RNAcentral lists this transfer RNA (106 nucleotides) under Curvularia kusanoi. RNAcentral describes it as "Cochliobolus kusanoi tRNA". It matches the Rfam family "tRNA". From Rfam's summary of the family: Transfer RNA (tRNA) molecules are approximately 80 nucleotides in length. Their secondary structure includes four short double-helical elements and three loops (D, anti-codon, and T loops). The record is from Rfam by way of RNAcentral. Lineage: Eukaryota; Fungi; Ascomycota; Dothideomycetes; Pleosporales; Pleosporaceae.